CUCCUACGGGAGGCAGCAGUGGGGAAUAUUGGACAAUGGGGGGAACCCUGAUCCAGCCAUGCCGCGUGUGUGAAGAAGGCCUUAUGGUUGUAAAGCACUUUAAGCGAGGAGGAGGCUACUUUAGUUAAUACCUAGAGAUAGUGGACGUUACUCGCAGAAUAAGCACCGGCUAACUCUGUGCCAGCAGCCGCGGUAAUACAGAGGGUGCAAGCGUUAAUCGGAUUUACUGGGCGUAAAGCGCGCGUAGGCGGCUAAUUAAGUCAAAUGUGAAAUCCCCGAGCUUAACUUGGGAAUUGCAUUCGAUACUGGUUAGCUAGAGUGUGGGAGAGGAUGGUAGAAUUCCAGGUGUAGCGGUGAAAUGCGUAGAGAUCUGGAGGAAUACCGAUGGCGAAGGCAGCCAUCUGGCCUAACACUGACGCUGAGGUGCGAAAGCAUGGGGAGCAAACAGGAUUAGAUACCCUGGUAGUCCAUGCCGUAAACGAUGUCUACUAGCCGUUGGGGCCUUUGAGGCUUUAGUGGCGCAGCUAACGCGAUAAGUAGACCGCCUGGGGAGUACGGUCGCAAGACUAAAACUCAAAUGAAUUGACGGGGGCCCGCACAAGCGGUGGAGCAUGUGGUUUAAUUCGAUGCAACGCGAAGAACCUUACCUACUCUUGACAUCCAGAGAACUUUCCAGAGAUGGAUUGGUGCCUUCGGGAACUCUGAGACAGGUGCUGCAUGGCUGUCGUCAGCUCGUGUUGUGAAAUGUUGGGUUAAGUCCCGCAACGAGCGCAACCCUUAUCCUUUGUUGCCAGCGGUUAGGCCGGGAACUCAAAGGAGACUGCCAGUGAUAAACUGGAGGAAGGUGGGGAUGACGUCAAGUCAUCAUGGCCCUUACGAGUAGGGCUACACACGUGCUACAAUGGCAUAUACAAAGAGAAGCGACCUCGCGAGAGCAAGCGGACCUCAUAAAGUAUGUCGUAGUCCGGAUUGGAGUCUGCAACUCGACUCCAUGAAGUCGGAAUCGCUAGUAAUCGUGGAUCAGAAUGCCACGGUGAAUACGUUCCCGGGCCUUGUACACACCGCCCGU
This 1069-nucleotide ribosomal RNA is filed under the name uncultured Moraxellaceae bacterium. Its description in RNAcentral is "bacterial SSU rRNA". It matches the Rfam family "Bacterial small subunit ribosomal RNA", at positions 336 to 1397 of the family's 1533-position model. The record is from RNAcentral. Lineage: Bacteria; Pseudomonadati; Pseudomonadota; Gammaproteobacteria; Moraxellales; Moraxellaceae.